UACAGAGGGUGCAAGCGUUGUUCGGAAUCAUUGGGCGUAAAGGGCGUGUAGGCGGUCUGUUAAGUCAUGUGUGAAAUCCCUCGGCUCAACCGGGGAACGACGCAUGAAACUGACAAGCUAGAGUACCAAAGAGGGGGGUGGAAUUCCCUGUGUAGCGGUGAAAUGCGUAGAGAUGGGGGAGAACACUCGUGGCGAAGGCGGCCAGCUAGACCAGUUCUGACACUGAGGCGCGACAGCGUGGGGAGCAAACAGG
This 253-nucleotide ribosomal RNA is filed under the name uncultured bacterium. Its description in RNAcentral is "partial 16S ribosomal RNA". It matches the Rfam family "Bacterial small subunit ribosomal RNA", at positions 524 to 776 of the family's 1533-position model. The record is from RNAcentral.